This 624-nucleotide ribosomal RNA is filed under the name Terpios hoshinota. RNAcentral describes it as "eukaryotic LSU rRNA". It matches the Rfam family "Eukaryotic large subunit ribosomal RNA", at positions 659 to 1265 of the family's 3401-position model. The record is from RNAcentral. Lineage: Eukaryota; Metazoa; Porifera; Demospongiae; Suberitida.
ACACGAACCAAGGAGUGCAACAUGCGUGCGAGUCUUUGGGUGGCAAACCCGUCGGCGCAAUGAAAGUGAAGGCAGGCGUUGGUCUGCUUAGGCGAGAGUCCCUCACGGGACGCAUCGUCGACCGAUCCCAGGUCACGCUGUGGCGGGAUUUGAGUGAGAGCGUGCCUGUUGCGACCCGAAAGAUGGUGAACUAUGCCUGAAUAGGGUGAAGCCAGAGGAAACUCUGGUGGAAGCUCGUAGCGAUUCUGACGUGCAAAUCGAUCGUCAAAUUUGGGUAUAGGGGCGAAAGACUAAUCGAACCAUCUAGUAGCUGGUUCCCUCCGAAGUUUCCCUCAGGAUAGCUGGAGCCCGGUGCAGUUUUAUCAGGUAAAGCGAAUGAUUAGAGGUCUUGGGGUUGAAACAACCUCAACCUAUUCUCAAACUUUAAAUGGGUAAGAAGCUUGGCUUGCUUAAUUGAAGUCGGGCAUUGAAUGCCGGGGUUCCUAGUGGGCCAUUUUUGGUAAGCAGAACUGGCGAUGUGGGAUGAACCAAAUGCUGGGUUAAGGUGCCCGAAUCGACGCUCAUCAGAUACCAUGAAAGGUGUUGGUUGAUCUAGACAGCAGGACGGUGGCCAUGGAAGUCGGA